This 432-nucleotide ribosomal RNA is filed under the name uncultured bacterium. Its description in RNAcentral is "partial 16S ribosomal RNA". It matches the Rfam family "Bacterial small subunit ribosomal RNA", at positions 29 to 506 of the family's 1533-position model. The record is from RNAcentral.
AACGAACGCUGGCGGCAUGCCUAACACAUGCAAGUCGAACGAGACCUUCGGGUCUAGUGGCGCACGGGUGCGUAACGCGUGGGAACCUGCCCUUAGGUUCGGAAUAACUCCCCGAAAGGGGUGCUAAUACCGGAUAAUGUCUUCGGACCAAAGAUUUAUCGCCUUUGGAUGGGCCCGCGUUGGAUUAGCUAGUUGGUAGGGUAAAAGCCUACCAAGGCGACGAUCCAUAGCUGGUCUGAGAGGAUGAUCAACCACACUGGGACUGAGACACGGCCCAGACUCCUACGGGAGGCAGCAGUGGGGAAUAUUGGACAAUGGGCGAAAGCCUGAUCCAGCAAUGCCGCGUGAGUGAUGAAGGCCUUAGGGUUGUAAAGCUCUUUUACCCGGGAUGAUAAUGACAGUACCGGGAGAAUAAGCUCCGGCUAACUCCGU